Molecule: ribosomal RNA, 480 nt
Filed under: uncultured bacterium
Lineage: Bacteria
Description: partial 16S ribosomal RNA
Rfam family: Bacterial small subunit ribosomal RNA
Source: RNAcentral
GACGAACGCUGGCGGCGUGCUUAACACAUGCAAGUCGAACGAUGAAGUUCCUUCGGGAAUGGAUUAGUGGCGAACGGGUGAGGAACACGUGAGAAACCUGCCUUUCAUUUUGGGAUAACUCCGGGAAACCGGGGCUAAAACCGAAUACUCCGUCUCGGCGGCAUCGCUGAGCCGGGAAAAAAUUUUGAUGAAAGAUGGUCCCGCGGCCUAUCAGCUAGUUGGUGAGGUAAUGGCUCACCAAGGCAAGGACGGGUAGCCGGCCUGGGAGGGCGACCGGCCACACUGGGACUGAGACACGGCCCAGACUCCUACGGGAGGCAGCAGUGGCGAAUAUUGGGCAAUGGGCGCAAGCCUGACCCAGCGACGCCGCGUGAGGGAUGAAGGCCUUCGGGUUGUAAACCUCUUUCAGUAGGGAAGAAGCGAAAGUGACGGUACCUAAAGAAGAAGCACCGGCUAACUAUGUGCCAGCCGCCGCGGUAA